GACGUAGGGUGCAAGCGUUGUCCGGAAUUAUUGGGCGUAAAGAGCUCGUAGGCGGUCUGUCGCGUCGGCUGUGAAAUCUCGGGGCUCAACCCCGAGCCUGCAGUCGAUACGGGCAGACUAGAGUGCUGUAGGGGAGACUGGAAUUCCUGGUGUAGCGGUGAAAUGCGCAGAUAUCAGGAGGAACACCGGUGGCGAAGGCGGGUCUCUGGGCAGCAACUGACGCUGAGGAGCGAAAGCGUGGGGGAGCGAACAGG
RNAcentral lists this ribosomal RNA (254 nucleotides) under uncultured bacterium. RNAcentral's name for it is "partial 16S ribosomal RNA". It matches the Rfam family "Bacterial small subunit ribosomal RNA", at positions 524 to 776 of the family's 1533-position model. The record is from RNAcentral.